AUGUUGAAGAAUGACAUCAUGCAUGCUAUUUGGUUGAGCUAUCAACAGCUUAAUCCAGACAUCAAGCGAUGCGUCAAAUACUGUAAUGUUUUUCCCAAAAGAUCCAAGUUAAAUAAGGAUGAGUUAGUUCACCUGUGGAUAGCGCAAGGGUUUAUAAAGACUAAUUGUGCAACAGAGGACAUGGAAGAUGUAGCUGAGGGCUAUGUUCAAGAGUUAGUGUCAUGCUCAUUUGUACAACCAGAAGAAGAUGAUUACUCUAUCAAAUACAUUACAAUCCUUGAUCUGCUGCAUGAUUUAUUAGACGAGAUCGUUGAAAGGGAUUACUUCAGAAUCGAGAAUGCAAGGAAUCAGAGAGGAAUAGUCUGGAAAGGAGAUGUUCCCCGAGAUGUCUGCCACCUUUUUGUUCAAAAUUAUGAUGGAGAAUUGAUUACGAAGAAGAUCCUUGCAUUGGAAAAUUUACGCACUCUAAUUAUUUAUGUGGUUGAAAAGGAUACACCAGUGGAGGAAAAAGUCAUUGAGAGUGUAUGCAAUAGCCUGCCGAAAUUGCGGGUACUGGCUGUUGCUUUUAGCCGGGAGCAUCAUCCAAUCACACGACCCAAUAAGUUCUCGAUCCCAGAAUCCAUUAGCCAGUUAAAGCACCUAUGCUAUCUUGCUUUCAGGACAUUCAAAUGCACUGUAAUUUUACCAAGUGCGCUAGCUGAACUUCACCAUAUUCAGCUGCUAGAUUUUGGUCAUCAUAGCCAAACUUCUGAAUUUACUACUGAUAACCUUACCAACCUGCGGUACAUAAUGUGCCAGAGUGUGAAAUGUCCUAACAUAGGAAGGUUGAUCUCACUCCAAGCGUUACCAUGCAACACAUUCACAGUAAGGAAUGUACAGGGUUAUGAGAUAAAGCAACUGAGAGACCUAAACAAGCUUCGUGGCAAUCUGGUGAUCAAUUGCCUUGAAAAUGUCACAAGCAAGGAGGAAGCUCUUGAAAGCAAUCUUGCUGCCAAGAAACGGGUCAAGGAACUGAGCAUAAGAUGGACCGAUGGUUCUGCAAGGUGGUGCAGUCCAGAAGUUGAAGCAAAGGUACUUGAGGGCAUGUGCCCUCCUGCGGAUCUUGAAACACUGAUGAUCGAGGGCUACAAAGGUUCGAGGUACCCAGAUUGGAUGGUGGAUCAGCAGAACAGUGGCCCAAAGGACCUGCAAAAUCUUGAGUUAAAAACUUGGAGUCAACCGGGACCUGGUCCUGAACUUGAGGCUUUCCCUCAUCUGCGUAUGCUCAGGCUUGUGGACUGCAGCUGGGUCACCUUACCAGGCAAUAUGGAACACCUCACAUCGCUCAAGCAUUUGGAUAUCUCUUUAUGUUGGAAUAUUCGUUUGCUUCCUACAUUGCCUAGGUCUCUUGAAUAUUUUUAUCUUAGUUACUGCAAUGAUGAUUUCAUAAAGUCUUGUGGAACAGACGGGCAUCCAAAUUGUCGAAAGUUGGAGCACGUUCAUCAAAAGGAAAUUAUACGCAUGGCAUGUAAGACUGUAGUCCCAAUCGCCAUUGUUCCUCUAUUUUUUAUCUGUAAACAUUACCUCCGUAAUAUUUUUGAUCUGCUGCUCCUCUGCUUAAUUACGUCUCUUCAUCCAUUUGCUACUCAUUGA
RNAcentral lists this ribosomal RNA (1632 nucleotides) under Triticum aestivum (bread wheat). Its description in RNAcentral is "partial small subunit ribosomal RNA". Lineage: Eukaryota; Viridiplantae; Streptophyta; Magnoliopsida; Poales; Poaceae. The record is from RNAcentral.